Long non-coding RNA from Bombus terrestris (buff-tailed bumblebee), 2824 nucleotides. RefSeq lists it as uncharacterized. The transcript is spliced from 2 exons. Lineage: Eukaryota; Metazoa; Arthropoda; Insecta; Hymenoptera; Apidae. The record is from RefSeq and is a predicted model, not a curated record.
UGAGGAAGCCGAGGUAACAAAGUACAUAUAGUAUGCAAGUCGAGGAUAUAUACUAUAAAAAAUCUUUAUACAGAGAAUAGACUGGAAUUAAAUUAGUUAUGAGACAGAUCGAUUUUAUCUUAUUGGUAAAAAGAACCGAAUAAGCGCGCGAAUAUAGAUGCCGAAGUAUGAGAUACAGAGAUAUACUAGACGUUUAACGUUUUGAAACGUAGCUUAAAGUUUUAUGAAAACAUAAUUCACGGAACAUCGUAAUUUACAUUUUAAUCUUGACAUAAUUAGAUCAAGUAGAUCGCAUCAUGAUAGAAACUAACAAACGAAAGAAUAUCAUCCACGGGUAAAUGAAUAAGAGAACAGCGACGAAUUGGACGAUAAGAUACAAAUAAAACAAAAAAACAUUAAGACAAACUGUGGCCAUUAUAAUUUCACAUACGACAAAUAUGAAAAAAUAUUAAAGAUUUACGAAAACUUUAACUUUCGUGAAAUCGUGUGCAAACGCUUCACAGUCUGGAAGAAUUUAAUAAAUCUUAUUCAGUAAGCAAUAAUUUGUCAGAUGUGCACGUUGAAUGAUAAAACGGACUCUUUAAACGGCAUAAUUUUACAGAAAGCGUAUAAUGAAGUAAAUGGCACCCGUUCCAUCGCUUUCUCUCAGCCUUGCGCUGCUUUUCUCACUCCUCCCUCUUCUUUAAUGAGCUAACUAUUUCCUCGUCGUCGAGUCAAACGUUUCCUAUAUCAGCGAAGUUAAAUACGAAACCCGACCCAAACUAAUUAUCCACGAUACCUCAAUUAAUCCUUCUUGCUAGCUGUAAGGACGCGGCUAUUUGAUUUCUCAGUUAUGUACAGAGAAAAAGUCUGUAACAAACAGGUCAACAACGUUCGUAAUCAGACGUGCAAUUUGGAAAGUAUGAGAUAGGAACAUCAUCGAUACUGUAUUACUGGUACUAUUACGCUUUACGUCCAUCAUUGUCAGAAUUAUUGAUUCCCUCUCGAAAACAACUGAAUAAAAUCCUAUUCGUAAACAGAUCAUGGUAGACGUUCAUUAGUGUAAUUACUGGACCUGAGCGAGGUUGAUGAGUUAGAUAUCAGUGUACAUUCAAUCAUAUCUGCGAGGAACAGGUGAUUUUUAGCAGAUAAUGGAUAUGUAUAUCCUCAUACAAAAGUUGGAGAAUGUGUAGUUUAAAUUUAUUCAAGUGAAGAAGUGUUGAAAGUUGUAAAGAAGUGCUAUUUCAUUCGAUAUUUAAUAGGGUAAAGAAAGUACGUAUAGAGAGGUGAAUAUUAAUAAUUUUGUUGUAAUAUGAAUAUAGUUCAAAGAGUCUAUCCAAUUAAAUCACGUGUGAAUAUUUAAACAAUAUUUGGAAAUUUGAAAUAUCAUUAUUAUUACAUGUCGAAUAUAACAUAUGGAUCUUAUUAUAAUACGUAUAAAAUUUUACGCAUCUGAAUUAAAAAGGGAAUUUUUAAUUGAAAAUAUAUUUCACCUGUAUAAUAUAAAUUUGAUGCUUCCUAUCAAAGACAAUUUCCACACGAAUUUACAAACAAUUCCACUUUAUACUAUUGAACAAUAUAAAGUUUGGAUACGAUCUGAAAUUUUCUAUACUAUUUACAAAUUUAAACUUAAAUAGCUAUACGAAUUUAAAUAGCUUACUUCAACAAGUAUCUUAAUUCACGAAAGGAAAUAUAAAUUUCUAAUAAAUUUAUCAAGUAGGAAUAUCAGCUAAGCAAUUAUCAACGAAACAAAACCCGACCAUUCUCAGUGCACCAGCUCUUCACUUGAUAAGCUCGAAAAACCGGACUAUCCAUAACUGAGUUUCGUUGGCUAUCAUACUUAAUCUCGAUCGAUUACUGCGGGACACGCUACGAAAUCAGCUCUGUUGACGCUUUCCCCUGAAAUGAAAACAUCGUUGACCGUUGAUGUUACAAGGACUCAGGAGGAACGUAAGUUUGGCCUGACAUUGAUCGGGAAAUAGUCUCCAUGAUACGGUCCUCAACGCAGACGUCGGAGCCUCUACCAUGGACACCGGGACCAAGGUGAACUAGGUUUACACAACGGCGAAGAGGUAAGAGAUCCUCUUCAUUUUAUCUCCAGUAUCCGCAAACCGUCCCUGGUAACCCUGGCUCGCUCUCCAACCAGCCUCAGGAGCUCGCCACAGCCUUUUUAUUUCCCUUUGAGCCGGAUGCGAUCCGACGUGCGAAAAAUCUGGCCUGCUCGCAUCCGAUUAAACUUAUAAUCAAACACGUCUAACACGCGAAGUUAUCGAAUCGUUUUCCCGCUUCGUGCGGAAAUUCAGUUUCAGAUAUAUCAUGAGGAAACUGAUUUAUCGAAUGCUGUCUACGCGAGGAAUCACACAAACGCUGAAAAGGCGAAAAGACUCCGCUUCUUAUUAUGACAUCUAUGAUUACAUUACACUGCCAGACAUAUGUAUUGGAGCGUUUAUAACGUAAAAUACUAAAUGAAAUAAAAUGUGAUAGUGUCUUUAAAUAAGCGAGGCGAACAUUUUUUUAACAAAUGACCUAAUAAUUACUUUACUUUUAUAUUCUUUGUAUUAAUAAAACGCGAAUGAAAAUUUUUACGUAACCAUUAUACUGAAGUUUAAAUAUUCUUCUUGACAUUCUGUAACGUUUUACUGAUAUUCUACCGUUUGUCUUUUUCGCUUGGACUCACUGUAUAUAAAAAGCUAAAAUGUCGGGUCUACUUGAAACGGUUUCAUUUUAUAUUAGAAACAGUGCUUUCGUAUCAUCCAUAUAUACAUAUAUCAUCAUAUAUAUAUAACAUGUAUUUGCCUUUAGUGUAAUAGAAUUUUAAGAGAAGCAAUAAAGUACUUUAAACGUU